Podarcis lilfordi (Lilford's wall lizard) is the source of this 71-nucleotide non-coding RNA. The record is from the annotation of a GenBank genome assembly. Lineage: Eukaryota; Metazoa; Chordata; Lepidosauria; Squamata; Lacertidae.
GGACCAUGGUUCAGUGGUAGUAUAUCUGCUUUGCAUGCAGGAAGUUCCGGGUUCAAUCCUCAGCAUCUCCA